Molecule: long non-coding RNA, 251 nt
Filed under: Malus domestica (apple)
Lineage: Eukaryota; Viridiplantae; Streptophyta; Magnoliopsida; Rosales; Rosaceae
Description: long non-coding RNA (MDOM_LNC003022)
Source: RNAcentral
AAAAAAUAAAAAAAAAUAAAAAAAAAAAAAAAAUAAAAAAAAAAAAAACAUUUUAAAAAAAAAUAAAAAAAAUACAUAAAAAAAAAAAAAUUAAAAAAAAAUAAAAAAAAAGUACAAAUAUUUUACAAUGAUGUAAACUAAUAGUAUUCAUUGGUCGGGUGGUGCUUCAGUAGUAGGCGGGGCUUCAGCAGUCGGCGGGGCCACAGAAGGAGGAGGCGGCAGAGGUUGAUCAGUUGGAGCUUCACUACGCG